Molecule: ribosomal RNA, 801 nt
Filed under: bacterium
Lineage: Bacteria
Description: bacterial SSU rRNA
Rfam family: Bacterial small subunit ribosomal RNA
Source: RNAcentral
CCUGCUUCGGUGGGGGAUCAGUGGCGAACGGGUGAGUAACACGUGGGCAACCUGCCCUCAGCUCUGGGAUAACUCCAAGAAAUUGGGGCUAAUACCGGAUAUGACCGCUGACCGCAUGGUCUGGUGGUGGAAAGAUUUAUCGGCUGGGGAUGGGCCCGCGGCCUAUCAGCUUGUUGGUGGGGUAGUGGCCUACCAAGGCGACGACGGGUAGCCGGCCUGAGAGGGUGACCGGCCACACUGGGACUGAGACACGGCCCAGACUCCUACGGGAGGCAGCAGUGGGGAAUAUUGCGCAAUGGGCGAAAGCCUGACGCAGCGACGCCGCGUGGGGGAUGACGGCCUUCGGGUUGUAAACCUCUUUCAGCAGGGACGAAGCGAAAGUGACGGUACCUGCAGAAGAAGCACCGGCCAACUACGUGCCAGCAGCCGCGGUAAUACGUAGGGUGCAAGCGUUGUCCGGAAUUAUUGGGCGUAAAGAGCUCGUAGGCGGUUCGUCGCGUCGGCUGUGAAAUCCCGAGGCUCAACCUCGGGCCUGCAGUCGAUACGGGCGGACUUGAGUUCGGCAGGGGAGACUGGAAUUCCUGGUGUAGCGGUGAAAUGCGCAGAUAUCAGGAGGAACACCGGUGGCGAAGGCGGGUCUCUGGGCCGAAACUGACGCUGAGGAGCGAAAGCGUGGGGAGCGAACAGGAUUAGAUACCCUGGUAGUCCACGCCGUAAACGUUGGGCGCUAGGUGUGGGGCUCAUUCCACGAGUUCCGUGCCGCAGCUAACGCAUUAAGCGCCCCGCCUGGGGAGUACGGCC